This 68-nucleotide transfer RNA is filed under the name Hippodamia convergens (convergent lady beetle). RNAcentral describes it as "partial tRNA-Gln". Lineage: Eukaryota; Metazoa; Arthropoda; Insecta; Coleoptera; Coccinellidae. The record is from RNAcentral.
AUUAUAUUCAAUAAAGUUAAAUUAUUUCUUAAAGUUUCAAAAACUUUCGUACAUCCUAUACUAGAAUA